Molecule: ribosomal RNA, 254 nt
Filed under: uncultured bacterium
Lineage: Bacteria
Description: partial 16S ribosomal RNA
Rfam family: Bacterial small subunit ribosomal RNA
Source: RNAcentral
UACAGAGGUGGCAAGCGUUGUUCGGAUUCAUUGGGUGUAAAGGGUGCGUAGGCGGUUUGGAAAGUCGGAUGUGAAAGCCUAGAGCUUAACUCUAGAACGGCAUCCGAAACUUCCUGACUAGAGUGCGAGAGAGGUGAAGGGAAUUCCCGGUGUAAGGGUGAAAUCUGCAGAGAUCGGGAGGAACACCAGUAGCGAAGGCGCUUCACUGGCUCGCAACUGACGCUGAGUGCACGAAGGCGUGGGGAGCGAACGGG